CAGUAGCCGCGGUAAAACGGAGGGUGCAAGCGUUAAUCGGAAUUACUGGGCGUAAAGCGCACGCAGGCGGUCUGUCAAGUCGGAUGUGAAAUCCCCGGGCUCAACCUGGGAACUGCAUCCGAAACUGGCAGGCUAGAGUCUUGUAGAGGGGGGUAGAAUUCCAGGUGUAGCGGUGAAAUGCGUAGAGAUCUGGAGGAAUACCGGUGGCGAAGGCGGCCCCCUGGACAAAGACUGACGCUCAGGUGCGAAAGCGUGGGGAGCAAACAGGAUUAGAUACCCCAGUAGUCCCUGUCUCUUAUAC
RNAcentral lists this ribosomal RNA (301 nucleotides) under uncultured bacterium. RNAcentral describes it as "partial 16S ribosomal RNA". It matches the Rfam family "Bacterial small subunit ribosomal RNA", at positions 509 to 807 of the family's 1533-position model. The record is from RNAcentral.